CCCGCCAGCGUCCCAAAAUGGCGGCGCCGGAGCCGCGCGGGGCCGCCGCUCUCUCCGCCGCCCAGGAAGGAAGGCAGGCAGAGCGGCAGCCUGAGGCGGCAGCGCCUUUAGCGAGGGCUUGUCCUUGGGGAAGGAGCCCCUCCGUGCCGGAGCAGGACGAGAGCCCCGUUAACGCUGCCAGGAAGCGACCCGGGAGGCGCCCCCAGUGAGUGCCGCUGGUCGGGCCUCCUGGGGGCUGGGAACGCCCGGCUGCCUGAGGGCUGGCUACCAAAAAGGUAGGAAAUCCUUAUCAAUCUUUGUUCUGUCUUGGGAUACCUCAGGAGGAAUUCUGCUUUCAUGUUACCAAAGACAAGAAUGGAAGUAGCCUUGUGUGUUGCUUCUCCCUACACUGCUAGAGAUAAAAAGAGCUUCAGGAAGUACAGUAGAGCAUUCACUGUCCUAUUAUCCCUGUCCUGGGCUGCAAACAUUCAACUUCUAAAGCCUUCCCAGAUAUAUCUAUAUACACACUGGAAGAAUAUAUUCUGGGAAAAUAUUAUUGCUAUCCAUACUGAUUUAUUUGAGAAUUCAAACAAAUACUUCUCACCAUAUCCAUGGUUUGCUGCUAAAUAUUUGGUACACUCCUGCCACUAAAAUGUUUCCUGUUAUGUGUUGGUAUGUCCUGUAAUUAUCUCCUGGGUUUCAUUCCUGUGAUUUUAUCUCUUUUCAUGUGAUUGUAAUUUUAGAGAACAUUUUUUCAUAAGGUGCCCGUACUAUUAACAUUACCAUUUUACUAAAUUUAUAUACAACUGUAAACAUCCAUGUUUGUUUUAAGAUGUUUUCUGUUCUUUUGGGGCAGGCAAAUAACAUACCAUUAUGUUUCUUUUCAUAAUUUCAUGAAGCCAAUAGGAUAGAGCAAGGUUUUGUAUUUGGUUUUGCAAUGACAGAAAAUUAAUUGAUGAUAGUGUCGAGCAAGAAAGAGAGGUCUACUUAUAUUUAUGGAUGAGUGAACAAUUAGUACAAGUCAUCAAAUAUUCUCCAGCACUUUCAGAAUGAAAGUGUCAUAGAAAACAUAAAAUUAAAUUGAUUUUCACAGUUAGUUCAUUGUUAGUUUCACAUACAUUAAGAAAAAAAUUAAAUACUCAAUAUAUUUUAGAAUAGCCAAACCAGAUCACAAUAUUAUUUCUAGAAAUAAAUAAUUUCUAAUAUAGAAAAAGUCA
RNAcentral lists this long non-coding RNA (1196 nucleotides) under Lonchura striata (white-rumped munia). Its description in RNAcentral is "domestica (Bengalese finch) lncRNA (ENSLSDG00000012658.1)". The record is from RNAcentral. Lineage: Eukaryota; Metazoa; Chordata; Aves; Passeriformes; Estrildidae.